CAGGCCUAACACAUGCAAGUCGAGCGGGCACUUCGGUGUCAGCGGCAGACGGGUGAGUAACACGUGGGAACGUGCCCUUCGGUUCGGAAUAACUCAGGGAAACUUGAGCUAAUACCGGAUACGCCCUUUUGGGGAAAGGUUUACUGCCGAAGGAUCGGCCCGCGUCUGAUUAGCUAGUUGGUGGGGUAAUGGCCUACCAAGGCGACGAUCAGUAGCUGGUCUGAGAGGAUGAUCAGCCACACUGGGACUGAGACACGGCCCAGACUCCUACGGGGGGCAGCAGUGGGGAAUAUUGGACAAUGGGCGCAAGCCUGAUCCAGCCAUGCCGCGUGAGUGAUGAAGGCCUUAGGGUUGUAAAGCUCUUUUACCCGGGAAGAUAAUGACUGUACCGGGAGAAUAAGCCCCGGCUAACUUCGUGCCAGCAGCCGCGGUAAU
Molecule: ribosomal RNA, 435 nt
Filed under: uncultured bacterium
Lineage: Bacteria
Description: bacterial SSU rRNA
Rfam family: Bacterial small subunit ribosomal RNA
Source: RNAcentral